This 497-nucleotide ribosomal RNA is filed under the name uncultured bacterium. Its description in RNAcentral is "partial 16S ribosomal RNA". It matches the Rfam family "Bacterial small subunit ribosomal RNA", at positions 28 to 507 of the family's 1533-position model. The record is from RNAcentral.
GAUGAACGCUGGCGGCGUGCCUAAUACAUGCAAGUCGAGCGAACAGACGAGGAGCUUGCUCCUCUGACGUUAGCGGCGGACGGGUGAGUAACACGUGGAUAACCUACCUAUAAGACUGGGAUAACUUCGGGAAACCGGAGCUAAUACCGGAUAACAUGUUGAACCGCAUGGUUCAACAGUGAAAGACGGUCUUGCUGUCACUUAUAGAUGGAUCCGCACCGCAUUAGCUAGUUGGUAAGGUAACGGCUUACCAAGGCAACGAUGCGUAGCCGACCUGAGAGGGUGAUCGGCCACACUGGAACUGAGACACGGUCCAGACUCCUACGGGAGGCAGCAGUAGGGAAUCUUCCGCAAUGGGCGAAAUCCUGACGGAGCAACGCCGCGUGAGUGAAGAAGGUCUUCGGAUCGUAAAACUCUGUUAUUAGGGAAGAACAAAUGUGUAAGUAACUAUGCACGUCUUGACGGUACCUAAUCAGAAAGCCACGGCUAACUACGUG